GGACGUGAUAAGCUGCGAUAAGCUUCGGGGAGUUGCACGUAAACUUUGAUCCGAAGAUUUCCGAAUGAGGAAACUCACUUAGAGUAAUGUCUAAGUAUCAUUAAGUGAAUACAUAGCUUAAUGAGGGGAACUCAGGGAACUGAAACAUCUAAGUACCUGAAGGAAGAGAAAGAAAUUCGAUUCCGUAAGUAGCGGCGAGCGAACGCGGAUUAGCCCAAACCAAUAAAGUUUUCUUUAUUGGGGUUGCGGACAUAUCAUAACGAAGAGGUAUCGUAAUUGAAGAGGUUUGGAAAGACCCACCACAGAAGGUAAUAGUCCUGUAUGUUAAACGAGAAGACUUUAGAUAUGAUCCAGAGUACCACGGGACACGUGAAACCCUGUGGGAAGCAGGAGGGACCACCCUCCAAGGCUAAAUACUACCUAGUGACCGAUAGCGUAUAGUACCGUGAGGGAAAGGUGAAAAGAACCCCGGGAGGGGAGUGAAAUAGAACCUGAAACCCUGCACUUACAAGCUGUGGAAGCACAUUUCUUGUGUGACCGCGUACUUUUUGUAGAACGGGCCAACGAGUUACGUUAAGUAGCAAGGUUAAGCACUUAAGGUGCGGAGCCGUAGCGAAAGCGAGUUUUAACUGAGCGUUCAGUUACUUGACGUAGACCCGAAACCGGGCGACCUACCCAUGAGCAGGAUGAAGCGAAAGUAAAAUUUCGUGGAGGUCCGAACCCACGAGCGUUGAAAAGCUCGGGGAUGACUUGUGGGUAGCGGUGAAAUUCCAAUCGAGCCCGGAGAUAGCUGGUUCUCCCCGAAAUAGCUUUAGGGCUAGCCUCAAGGUGAGAGAUACGGAGGUAGAGCACUGAAUGUCCUAGGGGGUAUUGCACCUACCGAAGACUAUCAAACUCCGAAUGCCGUCAUCUUAUACUUGGGAGUCAGACUGUGGGUGAUAAGAUUCAUAGUCGAAAGGGCAACAGCCCAGAUCGUCAGCUAAGGUCCCUAAAUGUAAGUUAAGUGGUAAAGGAUGUGGGAUUGCACAGACAACCAGGAUGUUGGCUUAGAAGCAGCCACUCAUUCAAAGAGUGCGUAAUAGCUCACUGGUCGAGUGAUCCUGCGCCGAAGAUUUCCGGGGCUAAAACUUACUACCGAAGCUACGGCAUCAGUAAUGAUGGGUAGGGGAGCUUCCCAUACGGGUUGAAGCAUGACCGUAAGGACAUGUGGACAGUAUGGGAGUGAGAAUGUUGGCAUGAGUAGCGAGAUGUGGGUGAGAAUCCCACAGGCCGUAAACCCAAGGUUUCCAGGGGAAGGUUCGUCCGCCCUGGGUUAGUCGGGACCUAAGCUGAGGCCGAAAGGCGUAGGUGAUGGACAACAGGUUGAUAUUCCUGUACUACCGAUAACCGUUUGAGAGAAGGGAUGACACAGUAGGAUAAGCUAAGCACACUGUUGGUUAUGUGUGCCCAAGCAUUGAGGCAGUCAAAGUAGGCAAAUCCGCUUUGAUAAUGCUGGGAUGUGAUGGGGAGCGAAAUUUAGUAGCGAAGUAGCUGAUUUCACACUGUCAAGAAAAGUCUCUAUCGAGGUUAAAGGUACCCGUACCGCAAACCGACACAGGUGGGUGAGGAGAGUAUCCUAAGGCCAGCGAGAGAACUGUUGUUAAGGAACUCGGCAAAAUGACCCCGUAACUUAGGGAUAAGGGGUGCCACCAUCAGGUGGCCGCAGAGAAUAGGCCCAAGCGACUGUUUACCAAAAACAUAGGUUUCUGCUAAGUCGCAAGACGAUGUAUAGGAGCUGACGCCUGCCCGGUGCUGGAGUGAAAUUGUAAUUCCGGUGAAGAUGCCGGAUACCUGCGACAGGACGGAAAGACCCCAUGGAGCUUUACUGUAGCUUGACAUUGGGUCUUGGUACUACAUGUACAGGAUAGGUGGGAGGCUUUGAAACCAGGACGCCAGUUUUGGCGGAGCCAUCCUUGGGAUACCACCCUUGUAGUACUGGGACUCUAACCAUAGGCCAUGAAUCUGGUCUUGGGACACUGUCAGGUGGGCAGUUUGACUGGGGCGGUCGCCUCCCAAAAGGUAACGGAGGCGCUCAAAGGUUCUCUCAGUACGGUCGGAAAUCGUACGUAGAGUGUAAAGGCAAAAGAGAGCUUGAUUGCAAGACAUACAGGUCGAGCAAGGAUGAAAAUCGGACUUAGUGAUCCGGUGGUUCUGCGUGGAAGGGCCAUCGCUCAACGGAUAAAAGCUACCCUGGGGAUAACAGGCUUAUCUCCCCCAAGAGUCCACAUCGACGGGGAGGUUUGGCACCUCGAUGUCGGCUCAUCACAUCCUGGGGCUGUAGUAGGUCCCAAGGGUUGGGCUGUUCG
Molecule: ribosomal RNA, 2345 nt
Filed under: Veillonella sp.
Lineage: Bacteria; Bacillati; Bacillota; Negativicutes; Veillonellales; Veillonellaceae
Description: partial 23S ribosomal RNA
Rfam family: Bacterial large subunit ribosomal RNA
Source: RNAcentral